This 900-nucleotide ribosomal RNA is filed under the name Rhizophagus intraradices. Its description in RNAcentral is "bacterial SSU rRNA". It matches the Rfam family "Eukaryotic small subunit ribosomal RNA", at positions 289 to 1190 of the family's 1831-position model. The record is from RNAcentral. Lineage: Eukaryota; Fungi; Glomeromycota; Glomeromycetes; Glomerales; Glomeraceae.
GGAGGACCAUACAAAUUUCUCCCCUAUCAAUUUUCGAUGGGACUACCUACUGCGAAAGCAGUGGUGACGGGUAACGGGGUGUUAGUGCACGACACCGGAGAGGGAGCCUGAGAACCGGCUACCGCAUCCAAGGAUGGCUGCAGGCGCGCAAAUUACCCAAUCCUGACACGGGGAGGUAGUGACAAUAAAUAACAAUACGGGGUUCUUUCGGAUCUCGUAAUUGGAAUGAGUACAAUUUAAGAGGAACGAUGGGAGGGCAAAUCUCUUGACGUCCGGUGCCGUAAUACCAGAGAAGCCGCGCUCCAAUAGCGUAUAUUAAAGUUGUUGCAGUUAAAAAGCUCGUAGUUGAAUUUCGGGGUUUCAUGCAUCUAGUUCGUUGGGGUCUCACUUGUUAUGUACUUUUCCUCCUUCCUGAUUAACCCUAAUGACAUUUAUUUGGUAUUUGGACUGUUAUUUUGAAGUUGCGGGGAUGGGGCAUUAUGUUUAAGGCAGGCUAACGCAAACUUAGAGUUGAAUACAUUAGCAUGGAAUAAUGAAAUAGUACGUUCGAUCCUAUUUUGUGGGUUUCCAGGAUUGACGUAGGGAUCGUUGCCUACCAUGGUAUUCCAUUGUCAGAGUUGAAAUUCUUGGAUUUAUUGAAUAGGAUCGAGAAUGAUUAAUUUUGCCAGGGUAAUGAAGAACGAAAGUUAGGGGAUCGAUGACGAUCAGAUAUGUUUUCAUACCGUCGAUGUUUUAACCAUCAACUAUGCCGGGAUGAUGUUAAUUUUUGAGACUAGGAAUAUGACUCUUUCGGAAAACCACGGCGCAUUAUUUCCGGGGGCGGUGUUUGGGCCUGCGGCUGCAAGGAUGACAAUUAAAGGUUUUGACGGAGGGGCACCACCAGGGGUGGAGAGUAUAGUC